Molecule: ribosomal RNA, 560 nt
Filed under: bacterium amp-d-26
Lineage: Bacteria
Description: bacterial SSU rRNA
Rfam family: Bacterial small subunit ribosomal RNA
Source: RNAcentral
CAUGCAGUCGACGGUAACAGGUCUUCGGAUGCUGACGAGUGGCGAACGGGUGAGUAAUACAUCGGAACGUGCCUAGUAGUGGGGGAUAACUACUCGAAAGAGUGGCUAAUACCGCAUGAGAUCUACGGAUGAAAGCAGGGGAUCGCAAGACCUUGUGCUACUAGAGCGGCCGAUGGCAGAUUAGGUAGUUGGUGGGAUAAAAGCUUACCAAGCCGACGAUCUGUAGCUGGUCUGAGAGGACGAUCAGCCACACUGGGACUGAGACACGGCCCAGACUCCUACGGGAGGCAGCAGUGGGGAAUUUUGGACAAUGGGCGCAAGCCUGAUCCAGCAAUGCCGCGUGCAGGAUGAAGGCCUUCGGGUUGUAAACUGCUUUUGUACGGAACGAAAAGCCCUGGGUUAAUACCCUGGGGUCAUGACGGUACCGUAAGAAUAAGCACCGGCUAACUACGUGCCAGCAGCCGCGGUAAUACGUAGGGUGCGAGCGUUAAUCGGAAUUACUGGGCGUAAAGCGUGCGCGGCGGUUUUGUAAGACAGAGGUGAAAUCCCCGGGCUCAACC